AGCGCAGGCGGUUUCUUAAGUCUGAUGUGAAAGCCCCCGGCUCAACCAGGGAGGGUCAUUGGAAACUGGGAGACUUGAGUGCAGAAGAGGAGAGUGGAAUUCCAUGUGUAGCGGUGAAAUGCGUAGAUAUAUGGAGGAACACCAGUGGCGAAGGCGGCUCUCUGGUCUGUAACUGACGCUGAGGCUCGAAAGGCUGGGAGCAAACA
This 206-nucleotide ribosomal RNA is filed under the name uncultured bacterium. RNAcentral describes it as "partial 16S ribosomal RNA". It matches the Rfam family "Bacterial small subunit ribosomal RNA", at positions 568 to 774 of the family's 1533-position model. The record is from RNAcentral.